This is a long non-coding RNA of Oncorhynchus tshawytscha (Chinook salmon), 644 nucleotides long. The record is from Ensembl. NCBI's taxonomy places the organism in Eukaryota, Metazoa, Chordata, Actinopteri, Salmoniformes, Salmonidae.
CUAACAUUAACUUAAAUGUUAGCUACAGGUAGGCCUAACGGUGCAUGGACACUAGAUAAGAGAUAAAUUGCCGCGUGUCGCUCAGGUCGCACAUUGUGACUCGCUUGUGGGCGUGCUGGCAGCAUGUGGCAGCAUGUUCGAUUGUGCGUCAAGAAUUCAGCAUAGCAAGUUUGUAUGAACGUCUGGUUAUUAAAUGGGUACAUAGUUCAAUAGUAAUAUCCUCUAAAACGCUCCAGUGACAAACUAACUUUGCUGCCCUGUUUCAAAUUAUCUACAUGACUGGGAGAACCUAUUCAAGUAAAGUGUUCUGUCCUCAGAUAAAGAGAGCUAUGAAAGCCGGUCUACAUAUGAAGAGCAGUGGUUCUCAGUCCUGGGGUCUCAAAAGGGGUGCACAUUUUUGUUUUUGCCUUAGCACUGCACAGCUAAUUCAGUUGAUCAACUCAUCAAGCUUCUAGUGGUAUUUCUGUAUUCAUUCUUUGAUAUGAUCCUGUUAUUGUCACAUGCUAUAUAUGCACGUGUGUGCCCAUUCAUCUUGAUAUCCAAUGUUUUCAUGAGUUGUUAUAAGGGAUAUUAUACUUUAGUAAUCCACAAUGACCCAGUGAUGUAAAAGUCUAAUAAUUACAUUGUCUUCCAUAUUACUACAG